UCAUUUGAAGGGGCUAUGGACUUCCUGAUAGGGGAAACCUUCUGGACUAUAGAAGUGUCUGAUCUAAUGCCCUCUGAUUGGAGAAGCUGACGAAGUUGGUCAGAAGCCCAAAGAUGGGGUUAGGGCCAUGGGCAGCCGGGCCUCCCCUCUCUCUUUCCUGCACCGCUUGAAGCCAUGGCAGGGAAGCUCUGAACGCAAAGGAGAAAAGAGGUGGGAACCAGAAGCCCAGACUUGCUGUGUGUCCUCAGCUUCUUCUCCAGGUCUCUGAGCGUCUCCUGCUUCAAGGUGGUUUCCUCCUUCCGCACCUCGACUGGCCUCAUCAUUUUCUCCAUCCUCACCCAUUCAGCCCGCUCGGCCGCCUCCUCCCGCUCGGCCUCCUCCUCCUCCUCCACCUUCUCCCUCAGGACCUCCAUUCUGGAGUGUCUCUGGCUGUCUGGAGAUGGAAUGUCUCUGUGGGGAAGGACCCUGGAGAUCCCAUCCAUGUCAUGUGGACAUCAGAUCACAUGAUUCUGCCCUUCUGGUUGCAGCUGAUUGGACCAGAGAUGGAUGAUGGACACUCGACUUGCAAGACAACAGAGCCCAUCACCUCCCUGGUGCAGGGGCCUCACCUUGCAAGGAGUUGAAAAGUGCAAAGAUGUAGACGGUGGAGAGGCCCAACGGGGUGAGGAUGGCCAACCCCCAUGUCACACCCACCAGGCUUGAGAGGCCCAGCAGGGGGGAAUCUGGGAGAAGGAACCACAGGACUCUGCACUAUUUUUGCAACUUUCUGUUUUAUCUCAAAAUAAAAUCCUUCUCAAUCCUG
This 802-nucleotide non-coding RNA is filed under the name Pongo abelii (Sumatran orangutan). The record is from RNAcentral. Lineage: Eukaryota; Metazoa; Chordata; Mammalia; Primates; Hominidae.